UCUUUCGGGGUUACAGCCUUGCUGAAUUAUUCACCCUUGUCUUUUGCGUACUUCUUGUUUCCUUGGUGGGUUCGCCCACCACUAGGACAAACAUAAACCUUUUGUAAUUGCAAUCAGCGUCAGUAACAAAUUAAUAAUUACAACUUUCAACAACGGAUCUCUUGGUUCUGGCAUCGAUGAAGAACGCAGCGAAAUGCGAUAAGUAGUGUGAAUUGCAGAAUUCAGUGAAUCAUCGAAUCUUUGAACGCACAUUGCGCCCUUUGGUAUUCCAAAGGGCAUGCCUGUUCGAGCGUCAUUUGUACCCUCAAGCUUUGCUUGGUGUUGGGCGUCUUGUCUCUAGCUUUGCUGGAGACUCGCCUUAAAGUAAUUGGCAGCCGGCCUACUGGUUUCGGAGCGCAGCACAAGUCGCACUCUCUAUCAGCAAAGGUCUAGCAUCCAUUAAGCCUUUUUUCAACUUUUGACCUCGGAUCAGGUAGGGAUACCCGCUGAACUUAAGCAUAUCAAUAAGCGGAGGAAG
Molecule: ribosomal RNA, 517 nt
Filed under: Alternaria sp. ALF3-2
Lineage: Eukaryota; Fungi; Ascomycota; Dothideomycetes; Pleosporales; Pleosporaceae
Description: eukaryotic LSU rRNA
Rfam family: 5.8S ribosomal RNA (bases 142-295)
Source: RNAcentral